UACGUAGGGGGCAAGCGUUGUCCGGAUUUAUUGGGCGUAAAGAGCGUGUAGGCGGCCAGGUAGGUCAGCUGUGAAAACUCGAGGCUCAACCUCGAGACGCCGGUUGAAACCAUCUGGCUAGAGUCCGGAAGAGGAGAGUGGAAUUCCUGGUGUAGCGGUGAAAUGCGCAGAUAUCAGGAAGAACACCCGUGGCUAAGGCGGCUCUCUAGUACGGUACUGACGCUGAGACGCGAAAGCGUGGGUAGCAAACAGG
Molecule: ribosomal RNA, 253 nt
Filed under: uncultured bacterium
Lineage: Bacteria
Description: partial 16S ribosomal RNA
Rfam family: Bacterial small subunit ribosomal RNA
Source: RNAcentral